RNAcentral lists this ribosomal RNA (1372 nucleotides) under uncultured bacterium. RNAcentral describes it as "bacterial SSU rRNA". It matches the Rfam family "Bacterial small subunit ribosomal RNA", at positions 28 to 1381 of the family's 1533-position model. The record is from RNAcentral.
GAUGAACGCUGGCGGCGUGCCUAAUACAUGCAAGUCGAGCGAACAGACAAGGAGCUUGCUCCUUUGACGUUAGCGGCGGACGGGUGAGUAACACGUGGGUAACCUACCUAUAAGACUGGGAUAACUUCGGGAAACCGGAGCUAAUACCGGAUAAUAUUUCGAACCGCAUGGUUCGAUAGUGAAAGAUGGUUUUGCUAUCACUUAUAGAUGGACCCGCGCCGUAUUAGCUAGUUGGUAAGGUAACGGCUUACCAAGGCGACGAUACGUAGCCGACCUGAGAGGGUGAUCGGCCACACUGGAACUGAGACACGGUCCAGACUCCUACGGGAGGCGGCAGUAGGGAAUCUUCCGCAAUGGGCGAAAGCCUGACGGAGCAACGCCGCGUGAGUGAUGAAGGUCUUCGGAUCGUAAAACUCUGUUAUUAGGGAAGAACAUACGUGUAAGUAACUAUGCACGUCUUGACGGUACCUAAUCAGAAAGCCACGGCUAACUACGUGCCAGCAGCCGCGGUAAUACGUAGGUGGCAAGCGUUAUCCGGAAUUAUUGGGCGUAAAGCGCGCGUAGGCGGUUUUUUAAGUCUGAUGUGAAAGCCCACGGCUCAACCGUGGAGGGUCAUUGGAAACUGGAAAACUUGAGUGCAGAAGAGGAAAGUGGAAUUCCAUGUGUAGCGGUGAAAUGCGCAGAGAUAUGGAGGAACACCAGUGGCGAAGGCGACUUUCUGGUCUGUAACUGACGCUGAUGUGCGAAAGCGUGGGGAUCAAACAGGAUUAGAUACCCUGGUAGUCCACGCCGUAAACGAUGAGUGCUAAGUGUUAGGGGGUUUCCGCCCCUUAGUGCUGUAGCUAACGCAUUAAGCACUCCGCCUGGGGAGUACGACCGCAAGGUUGAAACUCAAAGGAAUUGACGGGGACCCGCACAAGCGGUGGAGCAUGUGGUUUAAUUCGAAGCAACGCGAAGAACCUUACCAAAUCUUGACAUCCUUUGACAACUCUAGAGAUAGAGCCUUCCCCUUCGGGGGACAAAGUGACAGGUGGUGCAUGGUUGUCGUCAGCUCGUGUCGUGAGAUGUUGGGUUAAGUCCCGCAACGAGCGCAACCCUUAAGCUUAGUUGCCAUCAUUAAGUUGGGCACUCUAAGUUGACUGCCGGUGACAAACCGGAGGAAGGUGGGGAUGACGUCAAAUCAUCAUGCCCCUUAUGAUUUGGGCUACACACGUGCUACAAUGGACAAUACAAAGGGCAGCGAAACCGCGAGGUCAAGCAAAUCCCAUAAAGUUGUUCUCAGUUCGGAUUGUAGUCUGCAACUCGACUACAUGAAGCUGGAAUCGCUAGUAAUCGUAGAUCAGCAUGCUACGGUGAAUACGUUCCCGGGUCU